RNAcentral lists this ribosomal RNA (591 nucleotides) under uncultured bacterium. Its description in RNAcentral is "partial 16S ribosomal RNA". It matches the Rfam family "Bacterial small subunit ribosomal RNA", at positions 355 to 935 of the family's 1533-position model. The record is from RNAcentral.
UGGGGAAUUUUGGACAAUGGGGGAAACCCUGAUCCAGCCAUCCCGCGUGUGCGAUGAAGGCCUUCGGGUUGUAAAGCACUUUUGGCAGGAAAGAAACGUCGCGGGUUAAUACCCCGCGAAACUGACGGUACCUGCAGAAUAAGCACCGGCUAACUACGUGCCAGCAGCCGCGGUAAUACGUAGGGUGCAAGCGUUAAUCGGAAUUACUGGGCGUAAAGCGUGCGCAGGCGGUUCGGAAAGAAAGAUGUGAAAUCCCAGAGCUUAACUUUGGAACUGCAUUUUUAACUACCGGGCUAGAGUGUGUCAGAGGGAGGUGGAAUUCCGCGUGUAGCAGUGAAAUGCGUAGAUAUGCGGAGGAACACCGAUGGCGAAGGCAGCCUCCUGGGAUAACACUGACGCUCAUGCACGAAAAGCGUGGGGAGCAAACAGGAUUAGAUACCCUGGUAGUCCACGCCCUAAAACGAUGUCAACUAGCUGUUGGGGCCUUUCGGGCCUUAGUAGCGCAGCUAACGCGUGAAGUUGACCGCCUGGGGAGUACGGUCGCAAGAUUAAAACUUGAAAUGAAUUGAACGGGGUCAUAGCGUGUUUCCU